GACCAGACUCCUACGGGAGGCAGCAGUGGGGAAUAUUGCACAAUGGGGGAAACCCUGAUGCAGCGACGCCGCGUGGGUGAAGGAGCGUUUCGGCGCGUAAAGCCCUAUCGGCAGGGAAGAAGGAGGACGGUACCUGACUAAGAAGCCCCGGCUAACUACGUGCCAGCAGCCGCGGUAAUACGUAGGGGGCAAGCGUUAUCCGGAUUUACUGGGUGUAAAGGGAGCGUAGACGGCAAUGCAAGCCAGGAGUGAAAGCCCGGGGCCCAACCCCGGGACUGCUCUUGGAACUGCAUGGCUGGAGUACAGGAGGGGCAGGCGGAAUUCCUAGUGUAGCGGUGAAAUGCGUAGAUAUUAGGAGGAACACCGGUGGCGAAGGCGGCCUGCUGGACUGUGACUGACGUUGAGGCCCGAAGGCGUGGGGAGCAAACAGGAUUAGAUACCCCCGUA
This 447-nucleotide ribosomal RNA is filed under the name uncultured bacterium. Its description in RNAcentral is "partial 16S ribosomal RNA". It matches the Rfam family "Bacterial small subunit ribosomal RNA", at positions 329 to 792 of the family's 1533-position model. The record is from RNAcentral.